UAUAGGGCAGUGGCGCAGAAG
This 21-nucleotide unclassified non-coding RNA is filed under the name Mus musculus (house mouse). RNAcentral's name for it is "oocyte_clustered_small_RNA2911". The record is from RNAcentral. Lineage: Eukaryota; Metazoa; Chordata; Mammalia; Rodentia; Muridae.